Molecule: ribosomal RNA, 292 nt
Filed under: uncultured bacterium
Lineage: Bacteria
Description: partial 16S ribosomal RNA
Rfam family: Bacterial small subunit ribosomal RNA
Source: RNAcentral
GUGCCAGCAGCCGCGGUAACACGUAGGGGACGAGCGUUGUCCGGAUUCAUUGGGCGUAAAGCGCGCGUAGGCGGCUCGGAAAGUCGGGCGUGAAAUGCCGGGGCUCAACCCCGGGACUGCGUCCGAUACUUCCGAGCUGGAGGUAGGUAGGGGAGAUCGGAAUUCCUGGUGUAGCGGUGAAAUGCGCAGAUAUCAGGAGGAACACCGGUGGCGAAGGCGGAUCUCUGGGCCUUACCUGACGCUGAGGCGCGAAAGCUAGGGGAGCGAACAGGAUUAGAAACCCCCGUAGUCC